GACGAACGCUGGCGGCGUGCUUAACACAUGCAAGUCGAACGGUGAAGCGCCUUCCUUUUUGGUGGGUGUGGAUGAGUGGCGAACGGGUGAGUAACACGUGAGUAACCUGCCCCCUUCUUCUGGAUAACCGCAUGAAAGUGUGGCUAAUACGGGAUAUUCUGGGUCUGUCGCAUGAUGGGUCUGGGAAAGAUAUUGUUUCGGUGGGGGAUGGGCUCGCGGCCUAUCAGCUUGUUGGUGGGGUGAUGGCCUACCAAGGCGGUGACGGGUAGCCGGCCUGGGAGGGUGGACGGUCACAAUGGGACUGCGACACGGCCAAGACUCCUACGGGAGGCAGCAGUGGGGAAUAUUGCACAAUGGGCGCAAGCCUGAUGCAGCGACGCCGCGUGAGGGAUGGAGGCCUUCGGGUUGUGAACCUCUUUCGCCAGUGAAGCAGGCCUGCCUCGUUUGUGGGUGGGUUGACGGUAGCUGGAUAAGAAGCGCCGGCUAACUACGUG
Molecule: ribosomal RNA, 494 nt
Filed under: uncultured bacterium
Lineage: Bacteria
Description: partial 16S ribosomal RNA
Rfam family: Bacterial small subunit ribosomal RNA
Source: RNAcentral